RNAcentral lists this ribosomal RNA (496 nucleotides) under uncultured bacterium. RNAcentral describes it as "partial 16S ribosomal RNA". It matches the Rfam family "Bacterial small subunit ribosomal RNA", at positions 29 to 507 of the family's 1533-position model. The record is from RNAcentral.
AUGAACGCUGGCGGCGUGCCUCAUACAUGCCAGUCGAGCGAACGGACGAGAAGCUUGCUUCUCUGAUGUUAGCGGCGGACGGGUGAGUAACACGUGGAUAACCUACCUAUAAGACUGGGAUAACUUCGGGAAACCGGAGCUAAUACCGGAUAAUAUUUUGAACCGCAUGGUUCAAAAGUGAAAGACGGUCUUGCUGUCACUUAUAGAUGGAUCCGCGCUGCAUUAGCUAGUUGGUAAGGUAACGGCUUACCAAGGCAACGAUGCAUAGCCGACCUGAGAGGGUGAUCGGCCACACUGGAACUGAGACACGGUCCAGACUCCUACGGGAGGCAGCAGUAGGGAAUCUUCCGCAAUGGGCGAAAGCCUGACGGAGCAACGCCGCGUGAGUGAUGAAGGUCUUCGGAUCGUAAAACUCUGUUAUUAGGGAAGAACAUAUGUGUAAGUAACUGUGCACAUCUUGACGGUACCUAAUCAGAAAGCCACGGCUAACUACGUG